UACAGAGGGGGCAAGCGUUAUUCGGAAUUAUUGGGCGUAAAGGGCGCGUAGGCGGCCUGGCAAGUGGAAGGUGAAAUCCCUCGGCUUAACCGAGGAACUGCCCUCCAAACUGCUUGGCUUGAGACCGGGAGAGGUGAGUGGAAUUCCCAGUGUAGCGGUGAAAUGCGUAGAUAUUGCUCGGAAGGCCAGAGCCGAAGGGGCCCUACUGGUGCGCAACUGACACUGAGGCACGAAAGCGUGGGGAGCAAACAGG
This 253-nucleotide ribosomal RNA is filed under the name uncultured bacterium. RNAcentral's name for it is "partial 16S ribosomal RNA". It matches the Rfam family "Bacterial small subunit ribosomal RNA", at positions 524 to 776 of the family's 1533-position model. The record is from RNAcentral.